UGGGGAAUUUUGGACAAUGGGGGAAACCCUGAUCCAGCCAUCCCGCGUGUGCGAUGAAGGCCUUCGGGUUGUAAAGCACUUUUGGCAGGAAAGAAACGUCGCGGGUUAAUACCCCGCGAAACUGACGGUACCUGCAGAAUAAGCACCGGCUAACUACGUGCCAGCAGCCGCGGUAAUACGUAGGGUGCAAGCGUUAAUCGGAAUUACUGGGCGUAAAGCGUGCGCAGGCGGUUCGGAAAGAAAGAUGUGAAAUCCCAGAGCUUAACUUUGGAACUGCAUUUUUAACUACCGGGCUAGAGUGUGUCAGAGGGAGGUGGAAUUCCGCGUGUAGCAUGAAAUGCGUAGAUAUGCGGAGGAACACCGAUGGCGAAGGCAGCCUCCUGGGAUAACACUGACGCUCAUGCACGAAAGCGUGGGGAGC
RNAcentral lists this ribosomal RNA (421 nucleotides) under uncultured bacterium. RNAcentral describes it as "partial 16S ribosomal RNA". It matches the Rfam family "Bacterial small subunit ribosomal RNA", at positions 355 to 769 of the family's 1533-position model. The record is from RNAcentral.